GGGCCACCAGAGCCCGGUCACCGGCUGUGCCUGCCAGGGCCCCUGGCCCGGGGUCCGGGGGCUGCCGUGCAGACCGUGCCACGGGAACGCCCGUAGGAGCCGCAUGGACACGGGCUGCACGUCCCAGCGAGGGACUUCCAGCCCUCAACCUCCCAUAUCCCCAUUUAUGCUCCUCUGCUGGAACUGUGUCCACGGGAAGAUCCUGUUCUUGCUGCAAGCUGCUCUGCUUGGGCCGACUUCACCGACUUUGAUCUGAAACUGCGGAUGGAAGAAGGGUGGAAGUACCAGCAGGACAAAGGUUCACACACAGGAAGGCUCCCUCAAUAUUUGAUUCACCUGGAAAACAGGACCUAAUACCUAAGUUGUGGUCAGUAAUUUCCUCACCUGUGUGAUUAAAAAGACUCUUUCAAAUUUGAUAGCUCUUGGCUAUUAAUCAAAUCCUUUAAGAGAGCUGAUGAAUCACCCAGCCCUAGAAAGGGAUAAGCAAGGGUGCUUAACCUCUCAGUGCACUCACAGAAUAGGUCCCGAGUCCAUACUGGAACUCAGCAAACAAAUGGGAUGACCAGAAUUUACAAGGGAAAUUUCUAGCUUAUGUACUAUUGUCAUUUACUGUAAGAAAUGAAAAAAGAAAUAUAUUCAUCUCUAGAGAUUAUUUACCUCGCACCUAAUUGUGCACUUGGAAAUUACUGUACCCUAAAACAGCUCUGAUAAGCAAAGAUGAAACUCAAAUAGCUAAAAGGGAACUAAAAGAGCUCUUGCUUAGUAUCAAAUCCUGUUUUAAAACUUUCUGCUCUUAAAGACAUCCUGUUUAUAUAUUUAAUCAAUGAACUGGAUGUAAGACAAACAAUAAUGGCCUGCAAUCUUCUGUGAAAUGCAUAUUUGCAGAGAUGGAGUAACUCAGCUUUUAAAGUAAACAGCUAAACAGCUUGGGAAAUUCCCCAAAUUCCUGGUAGAUUUUGUUUCUGUUUCUCUGUGAACAAUGUUCUAAAUUUUUUUUGUCUCUGGGAACAUAUAAUGGUUCAAUGGUAGGCAUUUAGAAAACUCCCUUUUUUAAUGCUCUUUCCUUGCAUGGAUCUAAUCAAAUAAUUCAAUUUAGUAAGAGACUGCCUCUGACAAAACCUUACAUCUGACCUCCUGUUAAAAUGAGUUUCUGGAUAAAGAAAUCUUAAGGGAUUGCUUUGUUUGUUUUAAGAUCUGCUUUCUUUUAAAGUUCAAUCGCAAGCCU
Molecule: long non-coding RNA, 1225 nt
Filed under: Lonchura striata (white-rumped munia)
Lineage: Eukaryota; Metazoa; Chordata; Aves; Passeriformes; Estrildidae
Description: domestica (Bengalese finch) lncRNA (ENSLSDG00000016850.1)
Source: RNAcentral